Molecule: ribosomal RNA, 480 nt
Filed under: uncultured bacterium
Lineage: Bacteria
Description: bacterial SSU rRNA
Rfam family: Bacterial small subunit ribosomal RNA
Source: RNAcentral
UUGAACGCUGGCGGCAUGCCUUACACAUGCAAGUCGAACGGUAACAGGUCUUCGGAUGCUGACGAGUGGCGAACGGGUGAGUAAUACAUCGGAACGUGCCCGAUCGUGGGGGAUAACGCAGCGAAAGCUGUGCUAAUACCGCAUACGAUCUACGGAUGAAAGCAGGGGACCGCAAGGCCUUGCGCGGACGGAGCGGCCGAUGGCAGAUUAGGUAGUUGGUGGGAUAAAAGCUUACCAAGCCGACGAUCUGUAGCUGGUCUGAGAGGACGACCAGCCACACUGGGACUGAGACACGGCCCAGACUCCUACGGGAGGCAGCAGUGGGGAAUUUUGGACAAUGGGGGAAACCCUGAUCCAGCCAUGCCGCGUGCAGGAUGAAGGCCUUCGGGUUGUAAACUGCUUUUGUACGGAACGAAACGGUCUGCCCUAAUACGGUGGGCUAAUGACGGUACCGUAAGAAUAAGCACCGGCUAACUACGU